This 1478-nucleotide unclassified non-coding RNA is filed under the name Hevea brasiliensis (rubber tree). Lineage: Eukaryota; Viridiplantae; Streptophyta; Magnoliopsida; Malpighiales; Euphorbiaceae. The record is from RNAcentral.
AUGUCAACUAACCAAGAGAUUUAGCUCUGUUUUACACAGUACAAACUAGUUCCGGCAAAAGAUGAAAUGGCUUGCAGUGAUAUAACAAUUUAGUUUCAUUGUACAUUUAACUUGAAUGCUUAUUUAUUCUUGAACAAUUAGAAAAGACACCAACAAUCUCAUUAUUCAGGGUUAAAGUUUCACUAACCGUCCCUCAAUUAUGGUCCUUGUAACAGGACUAUCCAUGAACUUCAAUAUGUAACACAAAAAUCAAUGAACAUUAAUUUAGUGAACAAUAAAGUCUUGGUUACCUGAUUUCAUAGGUUUGCGAAUUAACCUACUGAAGUGGCCUCUUCAUGCUGGCAUCAAAGAAAGAAAAUGGCCUACAUAGUACAUACCCUCACUUGAAAUUACCUGUUUUUCACCCCUCAGAGUCUCCACCUCUCUCUCUCGCUCUUGAUCUUUCCUACUCCCAUUCCUUCAACUCAUUCCUUAAGCACGAUGAUAAAUCUCCAUAUGUGCAUGUCUCAAAAUCAUGUUAAGCAUGUCUUCUUUGUCAUCGCUGUCUAGGCCUCAAAAUUGUUGUGGGAUUCAUCUCCCGCUUUGCUUCAUGAAGGCUCCCGGCUGGAUUUCCCAGGCAAAUUUCUUGACUCUAAAAUCUGCUUUCAUAGGCAAACCCAUGAUUGACUUGUUGAUUGGUGGCUCAAGAUAUGUCUUUGAUUUCUUGUGCAUGUUGCAAUUGAUUUUGAAUUCAACUAUGUAGUGUUUUUUCUCUAAAAUGUUUGUCAAUCAGGAUUUUGAUGGUAUAUUAGAGAAGUCCAUGUUCGGAUUGGUUACAAUGGUAGAUUGGAGAAAUCGGAGAUCUAAAAUUCUGAAGAGAGCCUUAGGUGAGUUCAUCAUGAAGCAAGAGCAGGAGACUACUUCAAAACAGCAUCAUUUAAAUUUGCCCAAAUUUUGAGCUUCCGUGCAUCUCGAAACCCUUUCAAAGGGCUUGGUAAUCUGGUCACUGCCCGAGAUGGUAAGGAGGAUGGUGGCAGCAGCACCAUUCCUUUCUUUAGCUUUACUGCUCAAUGAAAUUCCCGCUCUUUUCCUCGAUCUCUCUCCCUUCACCAAGGUCAAGCCCUUUUUAUUUUUUAUUCUGACCCAAAAUCUUGUUAUGAUCUUGAAACGUUGGGUUAACAACUUAACAUUGUUAUUGCUUUGAGGUGGUGCUGUAGAGGGGAGCUCCCAGAAAAUUUUGUACUAUUAUGGUUUGUGUAGAUAUGCAACAAAUAGACAAUAAUCUUUGGUUGCUGCUGUAGAUUCAAUAUUAAAAUUUCCUUCUCUUUUUUAGUUGUCUCUCAAUGUUUGGAGAAGUAAUUUUGAUUUUUGUUGAACAUUGUUUGGAAAAAUAAUUUUAAGGUGAUAAACCAUGGGAAGAGAGGUAGACACAUAGAAAGAGAGGGGGCGAGAAAGAUAAGAGAGCAUAGAGGGGAAGAGGCAGAGAGAGUGAAGAGGGA